RNAcentral lists this transfer RNA (71 nucleotides) under Candidatus Ancillula hodotermitis. RNAcentral's name for it is "tRNA-Trp". It matches the Rfam family "tRNA". From Rfam's summary of the family: Transfer RNA (tRNA) molecules are approximately 80 nucleotides in length. Their secondary structure includes four short double-helical elements and three loops (D, anti-codon, and T loops). Lineage: Bacteria; Bacillati; Actinomycetota; Actinomycetes; Bifidobacteriales; Bifidobacteriaceae. The record is from RNAcentral.
AGGGAUAUGGUGAAAUGGUAUCAUAAAGGUCUCCAAAACCUUUGGCCUGGGUUCGAUUCCCAGUAUCCCUG